AUUGAACGCUGGCGGAAUGCUUUACACAUGCAAGUCGAACGGUAGAGGGGGCAACCCCUUGAGAGUGGCGAACGGGUGAGUAAUAUAUCGGAACGUGCCCAGUCGUGGGGAUAACGUAGCGAAAGCUACGCUAAUACCGCAUACGAUCUAUGGAUGAAAGCGGGGGAUCGCAAGACCUCGCGCGAUUGGAGCGGCCGAUAUCAGAUUAGGUAGUUGGUGAGGUAAAGGCUCACCAAGCCGACGAUCUGUAGCUGGUCUGAGAGGACGACCAGCCACACUGGGACUGAGACACGGCCCAGACUCCUACGGGAGGCAGCAGUGGGGAAUUUUGGGACAAUGGGCGCAAGCCUGACCCAGCAAUGCCGCGUGCAGGAUGAAGGCC
RNAcentral lists this ribosomal RNA (382 nucleotides) under uncultured bacterium. Its description in RNAcentral is "bacterial SSU rRNA". It matches the Rfam family "Bacterial small subunit ribosomal RNA", at positions 30 to 416 of the family's 1533-position model. The record is from RNAcentral.